CUAAAUACUCCUGACUGACCGAUAGUGAACCAGUACCGUGAGGGAAAGGCGAAAAGAACCCCGGCGAGGGGAGUGAAAAAGAACCUGAAACCGUGUACGUACAAGCAGUGGGAGCACGCUUAGGCGUGUGACUGCGUACCUUUUGUAUAAUGGGUCAGCGACUUAUAUUCUGUAGCAAGGUUAACCGAAUAGGGGAGCCGAAGGGAAACCGAGUCUUAACUGGGCGUUAAGUUGCAGGGUAUAGACCCGAAACCCGGUGAUCUAGCCAUGGGCAGGUUGAAGGUUGGGUAACACUAACUGGAGGACCGAACCGACUAAUGUUGAAAAAUUAGCGGAUGACUUGUGGCUGGGGGUGAAAGGCCAAUCAAACCGGGAGAUAGCUGGUUCUCCCCGAAAGCUAUUUAGGUAGCGCCUCGUGAAUUCAUCUCCGGGGGUAGAGCACUGUUUCGGCAAGGGGGUCAUCCCGACUUACCAACCCGAUGCAAACUGCGAAUACCGGAGAAUGUUAUCACGGGAGACACACGGCGGGUGCUAACGUCCGUCGUGAAGAGGGAAACAACCCAGACCGCCAGCUAAGGUCCCAAAGUCAUGGUUAAGUGGGAAACGAUGUGGGAAGGCCCAGACAGCCAGGAUGUUGGCUUAGAAGCAGCCAUCAUUUAAAGAAAGCG
This 668-nucleotide ribosomal RNA is filed under the name Escherichia coli. RNAcentral's name for it is "partial 23S ribosomal RNA". It matches the Rfam family "Bacterial large subunit ribosomal RNA", at positions 466 to 1134 of the family's 2925-position model. The record is from RNAcentral. Lineage: Bacteria; Pseudomonadati; Pseudomonadota; Gammaproteobacteria; Enterobacterales; Enterobacteriaceae.